RNAcentral lists this long non-coding RNA (1124 nucleotides) under Hordeum vulgare. Its description in RNAcentral is "long non-coding RNA (HVUL_LNC009063)". The record is from RNAcentral. Lineage: Eukaryota; Viridiplantae; Streptophyta; Magnoliopsida; Poales; Poaceae.
UUGGCUUGUAUAUUCCUAUGAUGGGCUUCCUCAGAAUUGCCCUAGGUCUUCGUGGGCAAGCAAGUUGGAUGCACACCCACUAGUUCUCCUUUGUAUGGCAAUCCCUACGCAUUCACAUUUAUAUCUAUUAAUGGGCAUCUCCAUAGCCCUUUGAUACGCCGAGUCAAUGUGACCAUCUCCUCUUUUUUGUCUCACAACCACCACCACACUCUACUCCACCUAUAGUGCUAUAUCCAUGGCUCACGCUCAUGUAUUGCGUGAUAGUUAUAAAAAGUUUGAGAAAGUAAGAGUGCGGAAACAAUUACUUGGCCAAUACCGGGGUUGUGCAUGAUCUACAUUAGUUGUGUGAGGAUGAUGGAGCAUAGCCAGACAAUAUGAUUUUGUAGGGAUAACUUUCCUUGGCCUUGAUAUUUUGAAAGUUCAUGAUUACCUUGCUAGUUUGCUUGAAGUAUUAUUGUUUUCAAGUCAAUAGCAAACUAUUGUUUUGAAUCUUACGAAUCUGAACAUUCAUGUCACAUGAAAGAAGUUGCAAAGGACAACUAUGCUAGGUAGCAUUCCACAUCAAAAUUUCAGUCGUUAUCCCUUCCCUACUCGAGGACGAACAGGAGUUAAGCUUGGGGAUGCUUGAUACGUCUCCAACGUAUCUAUAAUAUUUGAUGGUUUCAUGCUAUUAUCUUGUCAAACUUUGGAUGUUUUGUAUACCUUUUAUAUAUUUUUUGGGACUAACUUAUUAACUCAGUGCCAAGUGCGAGUUCCUGUUUUUCCAUGUUUUUGACCCCUUUCAGAGGAGGAUUUUGAACGGAGCCCAAACGGAACGAAACUGCCAAAAACAUUUUUUCCGAAACAGAAAAAGAUCGGGAAGCCUGAGAAUCAGGGCAGGGGCCUGCAGGGACCCCACAAGCCCCCUAUCCACGGCCAGGGGGCCCACGCCUCCCUGGCUUGAGGGCUCCCUAGGACACCUAUGCCCUAGGACUUUCGCCUAUAAAUUCCCUAAAGUCCGAGAAAAAUCAGGAGAUCAUCGAAAGUACUUUUCCGCCGACGCAAGCUUCUGUCUCCGCAAGAUCCCACCUUGGGCAUGUUCUGGUGCCCUGCCGGAGGGGGAUUCGGAUACGGAGGGCUUCUUC